UGGUGACUAUAGCAAGGAGGUCACACCUGUUCCUAUGCCGAACACAGAAGUUAAGCUCCUUAGCGUCGAUGGUAGUCGAACUUACGUUCCGUUAGAGUAGAACGUUGCCAGGCA
Molecule: ribosomal RNA, 114 nt
Filed under: Staphylococcus aureus
Lineage: Bacteria; Bacillati; Bacillota; Bacilli; Caryophanales; Staphylococcaceae
Source: RNAcentral